RNAcentral lists this ribosomal RNA (185 nucleotides) under uncultured Cytophaga sp. Its description in RNAcentral is "partial 16S ribosomal RNA". It matches the Rfam family "Bacterial small subunit ribosomal RNA", at positions 338 to 520 of the family's 1533-position model. The record is from RNAcentral. Lineage: Bacteria; Pseudomonadati; Bacteroidota; Cytophagia; Cytophagales; Cytophagaceae.
CCUACGGGAGGCAGCAGUGAGGAAUAUUGGACAAUGGAGGCAACUCUGAUCCAGCCAUGCCGCGUGCAGGAAGACGGUCCUAUGGAUUGUAAACUGCUUUUAUACAGGAAGAAACCACUCUACGUGUAGAGUCUUGACGGUACUGUAAGAAUAAGCACCGGCUAACUCCGUGCCAGCAGCCGCGG